This 253-nucleotide ribosomal RNA is filed under the name uncultured bacterium. RNAcentral's name for it is "partial 16S ribosomal RNA". It matches the Rfam family "Bacterial small subunit ribosomal RNA", at positions 524 to 776 of the family's 1533-position model. The record is from RNAcentral.
GACAGAGGGUGCAAACGUUGUUCGGAUUUACUGGGCGUAAAGCGCGCGCAGGCGGCUAUCCAAGUCAGUGGUGAAAGCCCGGAGCUCAACUCCGGAACUGCCAUUGAAACUGUUUAGCUUGAGGAUGAGAGAGGUGAGUGGAAUUCCCAGUGUAGAGGUGAAAUUCGUAGAUAUUGGGAAGAACACCGGUGGCGAAGGCGGCUCACUGGCUCAUUACUGACGCUCAGGCGCGAUAGCGUGGGGAUCAAACAGG